This 253-nucleotide ribosomal RNA is filed under the name uncultured bacterium. RNAcentral's name for it is "partial 16S ribosomal RNA". It matches the Rfam family "Bacterial small subunit ribosomal RNA", at positions 524 to 776 of the family's 1533-position model. The record is from RNAcentral.
UACGGGGGGGGUAAGCGUUGUUCGGAAUUACUGGGCGUAAAGGGCGCGUAGGCGGCUCUCUAAGUCCCGUGUGAAAGCCCUCGGCUUAACCGAGGAACUGCACGAGAAACUGGAGAGCUUGAGUUCGGGAGAGGGAAGCGGAAUUCCGGGUGUAGCGGUGAAAUGCGUAGAUAUCUGGAGGAACACCGGUGGCGAAGGCGGCAUCCUGGACCGGUAUUGACGCUGAGGCGCGAAAGCUAGGGGAGCAAACGGG